CCCUUAGGAGGUGUUUUUUUUUUUUAAGUAUUUUAUUAUAUGCAGUGUCAAAACAAAUCAAACAAAAUAGUAAAUAAACGAAAUGAAAUAAUUUAAUUCAGAUGCAGACUCAGCAAACAGAAAGGGUCUUCAAAACCCGGCCUGCCAUCAUUCCUGUGACAUUUUGUUCCAGUCGGUAACAAACUCUUGCACAGAGCUGGCUCAGUUAUUAAGUUGUCAGUACCAGAUUAGUAUCAAGCGAUACUUAUUAGUACUGAGAUUUGUUAUGAAAAAAAAAAUGGGAACAAUGCCUCACUAAUUAGUAGCACUAAUCAGCUGCCCGGGCACCUGAGACACGCUGAUUACAUGUCAGAGCUUACUUAUCCAGUUACUUACUUUAGUUGCAUGGAUGACGAGUAGGUUCAGUAGGCUGCUGAUGUACUGUAGCAGCUAGCAGCAUGUUUCUCCCUUCCAGCAACUAGUAAAAAGGAAAGCCCCCCCCCCCCCUUUACCUUUACUUGUUUGCAUGUAACAUGCUGUAGUUGUAGUAACUUUCUAACCUUUUAAACUACAAAAAUGCAUUCUGUCCGUCAGUAGGUAAUAUUUUACUAGGUGAAUAAAAAUGUAAAAAAAUAAAUAAAUAAACAUAAAGACUUACAUAUCUUUUAUGUGAGAGGUAAUAAGAUGACACCGAUGACUUGCUGCCAUUUUGUACAAUAUGCUACAUCAUAUACAUCAGGUUAGAAUAAGGAGUGUCUAGGCAGAGACUAAUGAAAAUGAGUGAGUACUCAAAUCUCAGGGCUGGGGAAUUUUCAUUUGUUCAUUAUACUUUAGUGUUAAAUUACAUUAGCUGCCACUUAUUAUCCUACUUAAUUAGGCUUCUGGGCAAAAAACAACAACAUGGGAUGUACAAGUAGACUGGAGCGUCCCACUGGGCUGUCUAACAAAUGUAUUAUUUCUCCAUCCCUAGACCACAAUUACUGCAUUGUAUUUUGUAGGAGAUUUUAGGUGAUUUCCCCUAAAAUGAGGUGCUUUGUGAAUAAAAUGCACUAAACACUGUCAUUUCAUCAUUACAGAUCUUCCACAUUCUACUACCUGCUAGCUUUAUUAUCUGUCCGGUUAUAACUUAUACAUUCACAGCCAUAUUUAAGUGUAACUGUAUAGUUAUACACUACAUGGCCAAAAGUUGUUUGUAUCUUUCUCAUUUGUAAGUCGCUUUGGAUAAAAGCGUCUGCUAAGUGAAUAAAUGUAAAUGUAAUGUAAAAGUAUGUGUACACCCCUCCUAAUGACUGAGCUCAGCUACGCAGCUUCGGUCAACACUAAGUGCUAUUAUUGUGAAAUGGAAGCGUCUACGAGCAACAACUGCUCCGCUACAAGUUUGUAGACCAUGGAAACUCACAACGCUACCCACUGGAAUACAUACUGCCUACAGUAAGGUUUGGCAUAGGUGGGAUAAUAGUCUGGGGCUGUUUUUCAGGGUUUGGGCACCACAGUUCCAGUGAAGGUUAAUGUUAAUACUACAACAUGCAAAGACAUUUCAGACUUUUGUUUUAGAAGUGUACGCUUCCAACUUUGUGGCAACAGUUCGGGGAAGGCCAUUCAUUUUCCCAGCAUUUGUCCCAGUGCACAAAUCAAGGUACAUAAAGACAGGUUUGACAAGUUUGUUGUGGAGGAACUGAAAUGGCCUGCCCAGAAUCCUGACCUCAAACCAAAUGAACACCUUUGGGAUGAAUUGUUGGCCAGAGCUUCUCUAGAUAACAUCAGUCCUGGAUCUUACAAAUGUUCCUUUGACACAGUGGGCACAAAUUGCCCCAGUCAUGCUCCAAAAUCCUGUAGAAAGCCUUCCCAGGAGAGUGGAAGCUGUUAUAACCACAAAGGGUGGGGUGGGGAGUGGGGACUCCAUAUUAAUGCCAAUAGUUUUGGAAUGGGAUAUCCAACAAGCUCAUAUAAGGUGCGAUGGUCAGAUGUCUACAUACUUUCAGCAAAGUAUGAUUAUGAUGUGUUAUGUAUCAGACCAAUUAAAGUAGGGUCAUUCUGGAGAAGUUCUCUGCAACUGAAAGAGGCUAAAUGGAUAUAUUUUGUCUGACUCUGACAGUUCUGUAACAUGCUCAGGCAUUCUUUAAUGGGUAAAUAUUAAAUUAGGUCUGGGGAAAAUGCUGCUUAUAUGCCACAGACAGCUAAUCCUGCAUAAUUUGCAUAAAUUUGUUUUGAAUUUGGAGGAAUAGACAGUGAAAUAACCUAUCUCUCUCUCUCUCUCUCUCUCUCAUUCUCUCUCUCAGUCUCCUAUGCACAUCCACAAACACUUACCAUAACUGCAAAUAAGGUUUUAUUAAGGAAACAGGGCUGAGAGUGGUUCAAACUUGACCUCGACAUUAAAGACACGACGUACAAGCAGAAUGCAACAAAAGUGCUCUUAUUUAUCAGGGAAUAAUUUAGUUCAACCUCAUCUUUCCCUCUAUCUGCCCUUCAUUUAUAUGUGCAUUUCAAAGAAGCCAAAACGAUUCCCUUUGGGCAUGUUUAUCCGACAAGUGAAUGGGAUUAUCAUAUUAUCAAAAGCUCUCAACCAUGCAUAGCUUCCACACCAUAAAUACACAUUGUACAUAAGCUUAGUGGCUCAAAAGCAUGAAAGCCUUGCUUCUAGGAAAAUGAUAAACACGUGAGUUUUCAUCUAAUGCAUCUGGCAACAGCAGAGCAUUUCACCCGAACGCAAGCUGUGUCAGAGGUGUUGGGGAUCAAAUCAGUGGAACAAAUCAGAGCAAUGCGAAGAUGGGUUAUUUUCUCUUAGCAACCAUUUUUAUUGAGUUGGUUUCAGGCAAUGUCCUGUGCAACGACAUGGAAACACUGAAGGGAAAAAGAAGUGGAAUGCAGUGAAAAGUCGAGAUACAGAUAAGACAGAGAAGCGAGAGGAAAGAAAGAGCAUUUUAAUCUCAAGUGGAAGAUCAGUCACUGCUACAGUCAAGCUUGAGGAGGAAAGGAGGGAGACGAAGAAACAGACAAAAAAUGAAAGAAACGUGACAUAACGCUGUGAAAGAGAGUGUGUGUGAGAGAGAGAGAUGAAUGGGCAGAUAGAGAAGGUCAUGGCUGUCCUCGAUGUGACUGCUCGAAUUCUUGCUGCCAUCUCUGUGGCCUCCCCUAUGUGCCAAGAUUUAACCCAUUACACUGAUAAAUCAUUACAGUGUUAGAGCACCGAUCCCACACAUCACACCAUCACUACCGUUUUAUACAAACUCGAUACACAUGACAGCUUCAGAGACAAAGCAAGAGAUUUCAGAUCGCACACUGCACCACCAUCACUGCCACCUGUACAUAAAUUUCAUGUCACAUGACAGCAGGGUAUAAAUCAGUCCCUCCGGGAUUUUGCGAUGGCAGAAAUUAAUUCAAAAUCAAGGAAACGCUGCAAUAUUCUAAUUCUAAUUUUCCGCAGAUUUGGGCCAAGACGUGCCAUGUGACCUUAUCACAACACGCAUUCAGCCAAAGCCCUCUUCAGUUCAUGUGCGUCGAACAUGAGUACAGCCACAGUUUCAUUUAUCAACAAACAUCACUGCGAAAGACAAUUUCGUGUGAUUGCAAUUUCGCCAAUUCAAGUGGUUUUCUGCAAAAAAGCACAAAAAACUCUGCAAGUUGCAACACAAAUUCUGAAAAAUCCACAGCAAAAUCAUACAAUAAAUGAGUGCUACCAUGAGCAAAAUGAGUGUCUUGUAUGUCGCAUGAUCACUGUGCUAGUUAUGUUGGUAGUAGCAUCUCCCAAAACGCUGUACUAUGUAAUAUGUAAUAUGAAAAGUUCUUGAAAAGAUUUACUCGACAUUAUGCAAACAGAAAAAAAAAAAAAAAAAAAAAAACAUUGUUAAGAGCUUGAUAAAUGUUGAUAAAAAUUAAUUAUGGAUUACGCUUUAGCCCCUUUUUUUCUCAAAGGGUCUACAACGGCAGACAAUCAUGUCCGGUGCCCACGUGAACAAGAAGAAACAGGUCUCCAGUGAGCACAGACGCACUGGACCUUAAGGUGUGGAAAAAAAGUCGUCUGGUUAGACGAAAUCUAGAUCCGAAUUUGGCACAAACAACAUGGAGCCGUUUGGUUUGAUAUGAACUUUACAGGCUGGUGCCCCUGAUACUAUCUGAAGAAAUCUCGUCAUCAUUACUGGCCAAGUUUAUUUACUUAUUUGUUUCUACGGUAAUGAUGAUGCACUACAUCGCCCAUAUUGCCCCUGCAUUUAGUAGAUGCAGUGAGGAACUUUAAGAAAAUACUCCUGCGUGAAGCUCCAUGCUGGUUGAGAAGAUGCCAAGAGCGUGCAAAGUUUUGUAACACGAAUACUGUUAAUUUAAAACACAAAACAGAUUGGAUUUGUUUAACACUCUUCUUUGUCUCUACAUUAUUCAAUAUUUGUUAUUUCAUAGUGUUUAAUGUCUUUACAGACAAAAGUAUUGCAUUAUUAAAACAAAGGUUUUUCUGGUUUGAGUGAUAAAUGACAAAUGAAGGAAAAUAGGGGAUAAAUGAUAGCUAAGGCUUGUAUUUUUACUAGGGCAUGUGCCAGGGUUCAGUAAUCAGUGCUGGGUUUCUUACCGCUCCAGAGAGCAUGCAGUCUGCAAAGUGCACUUGGAUUCAAUUACAGCCUCUCAGCAAAGCUAGAGCAGAGAUAGAGAACUUAUUCAGACUGAACCUGAUGUUAAGACUGCCACCUUAAAUUAGAGGUCCAAACCAGCUGAAAAACCACAACAUAUACUUAUUAAUUUAUGUGGACAGCUAACCAUAUCAACAGAUUUGCCCCUUACAAUAUCACAGAUAAUCAAAAGCGACUGAAGUAACUAAUCCUCUCAUACUGAAGUCUUAUGAAUUACGUCCUGGGCUUUUCAUAUUCUUACGGAAUGAGAGCUGCAGCUCUCGUGUCAUUCAUCUUUUUUAUUGCUUUUAUUGCUCCUGCACUGUCCUGCACACUCAAUCAAGCAGCUUGAGGAUGAGACGGAAAGGGCUGUUCAGAACAAGUGUAAUGCGCUAUGAAAUUUACAAAACUGUACAGAAUUCCUGCUCAACCCGUCCGGCGUUUUGUAGAAUUUACAGCCAUGUGAAAAAAGCAAGCACAUAGAUUGGAGAACCUUAGAAACCUACAAACACAUGCUGAAAUUUCCAUUGCUUCAGCUACAGUUUUAUGAAAUUAUUGGAAAAUACGUCAAAUCCAUACAAUGCAAAUAUUAAAAAAAAAAUUUUUUUUAAAUGACAUGCAGAUGCAGAUGCAGACAGCUUUCUAAGACAUUUUAAUCAGUCCAAACAGGAUUUCGCUUUUAAAAAAUGCUUGAUUUUGUUGCUGCUUUGUUCAAAAUUUGCGAUGCAACCCGGUGAUUUUUUAAAAAUUUUUUUGCUUUUUUGCAGAAAACGAUUGAACAGAACUGCACAAACGAUUGAAAAGAACUGCACAAACGAUUGAAAAGAACUGCACAAACGAUUGAAAAGAACUGCACAAACGAUUGAACGAACUGCACAAAAUUGUUCUGCGUGGUCUUUCACUGUGAGGUUUCUGUACGCAUGUUCGAUGCAUGUAAAUCGAAGGGGGCUUUGGGGAAUGCGCGUUGUGAUGACGUCACAUGACGUAUCUUGGCCCAAAUCUGCAGCCAUUUUGAAAAAUUGCAAGCUCCUGCAAAUAUUGCCGCGUUUCCUUGAUCUUAUGUUCAUUUCUGUGUUCGCAAAAAUCGCUAAAUCUUGAAAGGGACAGUUAAAUGAUCUCAUUCCAACAACUGCUGCAGUUUGAGAAUAAAAUAAUUCUAAGCUUUAACAAAAAAGGAAAGCCAUAUUAAAAAAAAAAAAAAAAAGAUCUGUAGAAAGGUCGAAUAGGUGAUUUUAAUGCACACAUCGGGCCUCGUUUAUCAAACUUUUACUAAAGUUGUGUGUAAAUGUUUUUCAUAAGCGACACCGAACUAAAAAUUCCUGCCAGAUUUACAAACGUUUCAGUCACUUUCGGAUUAUUUAAUUUGUAUUCACGUGCAUAUGUUGAUAAAUGCCAAUCACGCUUAAAGUGCAAAGCGUGUGCACACCACAGCUGAUGUGCAUUUAGUCACACCCACAAAACUCCAUAUACGGUAAAGCUCAUAAUAAGAUGAAAGCGCAGUAUCGGGACAAAAUGGUGAGGAAAAUGGUUUCUCCGAUGCAGAAGCGGAAAUUAUUUCAUGCUGCUAAAAUAUUUAGCAGCAUGACAGCAACUUCAAAGGCCAGAAACUGGAGACAAAUUACAGUAAAAGGGCAAUUAGGUAUCAAUUAAGAGCGCUGAAAGAAUGACAUAAAAAUGCAGAAUAGGAAAGUUUCUUUGCAGAUGUUUCAUGAAUACGAGAUUUCUUGUGUAAACAUUACUAUUUAAAUAUUUAAAUAGUAAAUAUCUGUACUAUUUACAGAUAUUUACAAAUGUAUUCGUGCAUAUCUAGCUUGCUGCAUAUCUAGCUUGCUAACUCUACACUCUAAUCUUCAAGAAAACAGGCAACCUACAUCUACGUCAAUAUGAAAUAAAUGCAUGCAGACAUCCAGUUCUGCCUCUUUUAUAUCAAUAUUUUCAAUAAAUCAAUAUAUGUUUGAAUAAAUAGAGAUAUAUGCUAUUCAGAUGUUUAUACCCGCUAAAACAUUUCUCCUCUACUCUGAAGGGCUUGGCUUUGAAUCCCUGAUGGUAAUUGCAACACAACAUCUAUACGAUACUUAUAUGAGGCAAAGAGCAAGCUUUCCCUUUAAAAUGACCCUUCUGGUCUAUUAAAUCUUCCACUGGAGUGUUACGCCUUAGGGAUUUGGCAAUGCUAUUUUUGUUGUGGCUUUUUUUAGUUUCUUAGCUUGUUUUUAUUCUCUUAAAGUUCGACUGAUUCAAAAAGAUUGUGCAUCUUAGAUGCCGAUUUUUUUUUUUAAAAUAAUAAUAAAUAAAUUAUUCAGCUGUGAGACAGAAUGCUAAUGGUUUUACUUCUACCAUUUAUAAAAUAUUGAUUAUUUAUUUAUUUAUUUAUUCAGAGCUUCCUUUUGGCUAACAGGGCUUUUUUCCAGCAUGGGUCCAGACCCUCAUCAAUGUGGUAAGGUUUGUUGGGGAUGAUAUGCUCUCUGAUAGCCUUGAAAUAAUAAAAGAAAGAGAAAUAAAAUCAAUUAUUUAAAAACAAAAAAGAUUAAAGAAGAAAAAUAAGACAGCAGAAAAUCAAUUCCAAAGCAAUCCAUUUCCUCUCCGUUUCAAAAGCGUGAUGAGUCUGUCAGUCAGAGAGAAUGUGGUGAUUGUGUUUAACAUCAUAUCUGCAGAGGACAGAGGACCUCUAAAUUGGCCUGUUUUAAUUCUAUUGCACUAAUGCAAAAACAGGCAAUGGCACUAUAAAAGCUCAAGGGGAGAUUCAUUUUCGCUCGAAUGCCCCGGGGUUUAUUAAAGCUCAUGCAGGGGUGAUAUCAGGUUGACACAAAGAUGUUUUCUUUUUGAUGUGUUGCUUGAAGAGCAGAUUUUUGUGCACUGAAGCUGGAGUCGAUCCUUUUGUUCUCUCCCCCUCCCCCUACAGACAGUGUAAAGUCUGCCAUUUUUUUCUUGGCCUUGAUUGCCUUUGCUAGAAAAAAAAAAAAAAAACAUUGUCUAAAUCGAUCAAAGACCCUGAAGUGUGCCCUUGUCUCCAAAUACUACGACUUCCUUUUGCUCUCAAAUAUAACACCUCAUAUGUAAAAGCACAAAGGAGAGAACUGGCCAAACAGAAUAGCUAGAUGUAUUUGUGAACAUAUGCACAAGCACGUGUAAGAAAAUGUGCUCAUCUGUAUGCGUCUGCAGGUAGACGACAGCGACACUUUCAAGAGAGUCGAUAUACCUCGUCUCACACAAUAAAUAAAUACACCCAAAAGUGAAAUUUGAAGUCCAGAAUCAUGCUAGAGCGGAAGAUCCUGCACAGCAGGGGUGUAAAUCGCAAGUUUCAGUAUUCUUUUAGCCGGCGAUUCAAUAUUUGCCGAUACCUCUAUGACAGUGGUGUUUAAUAGGCGAAAAAAUGUCAACAACCUCAGACAUAAUACAACUUUUUAAAUCUCAGAAUCACUGGCCAUUUCACACGACACAGCUUGAAAUGUUUGCAUUUAGUUGUUCAGUGUUGUAAGAGUGAGGACAUCACUUGCAUACAAGGCGCACACAAUGUAUAAAGGCAAUUUUUCACGCUAUGGGCCGAUAGUUUAAAAACACACAGCGGAAACACAUCGAUUCGUGCUGUGUGGAAUGAUGACAAAACUGCAGUCUGUAAGCUCUGUAAUCUCUGCUCUGCUAAAAUUUUACAACGGAAGUGAGCAGGAGUGAAGCGGGAGUUUCAGCAUCGUCUUAAUUUUUUAAAAAAUUUGCCAUGCUGCUUGCGCCGUAUUAAAACGCCAGUACACGAUUGAACGAUUUAAAUGAAGAUGACAAAAAAGUAUAUAUUGCAAAGAAAAAUACACAAAAAUGUACCGCCGUGUGUGAUCGUGUCCUGUCACAAAAUGCGGUGAAAACUCUCACACGUUGUUAAUAAUGUGAUUAAGGGGUUUACAUGUCUGUAAUACUCGUCCAUAAUGCGACUAAAACAGGAGUACUCCACCUGUCUUAAUCCGAUUAGUGUUUACUUCGAGUAUGACCUUAAUCAGAUUAAGGUCAUUAACAAUUGCUGUUUACAUGCUAGUUUCUUAAUCACAGUAUGGUCUUAAUCAAUAAUCCACUCUUAACCCGAUUAAGACCAUACUGUGAUUAAGAAACUAGCAUG
Molecule: long non-coding RNA, 8676 nt
Organism: Ictalurus punctatus (channel catfish)
Lineage: Eukaryota; Metazoa; Chordata; Actinopteri; Siluriformes; Ictaluridae
Source: Ensembl